UACAGAGACUGCAAGCGUUAUUCGGAUUCACUGGGCGUAAAGGGUGCGCAGGCGGCCGUGUGUGUGAGAUGUGAAAUCCCGGAGCUUAACUCCGGAACUGCGUCUCAAACUACACGGCUAGAGCAUUGGAGAGGGAAGUGGAAUUCACGGUGUAGCAGUGAAAUGCGUAGAUAUCGUGAGGAACACCAGAGGCGAAGGCGACUUCCUGGACAAUUGCUGACGCUCAGGCACGAAAGCGUGGGGAGCAAAAGGGAUUAGAUACCCCUGUAGUCCACGCCCUAAACGGUGCAUACUAGGUUUUGGAGGAUUCGACCCCUUCAGGACCCAAGCUAACGCGUUAAGUAUGCCGCCUGAGGACUACGGCCGCAAGGCUAAA
This 376-nucleotide ribosomal RNA is filed under the name uncultured bacterium. RNAcentral describes it as "bacterial SSU rRNA". It matches the Rfam family "Bacterial small subunit ribosomal RNA", at positions 524 to 898 of the family's 1533-position model. The record is from RNAcentral.